AGGCAGACGGAGGGAGGCAGCAUCGUUUGGUCUUGCCACCCCAUUUUACUGCUUCACUCAACCUGGAGUGUUGGGACCUAUUCUCUCUCUGCGUUCUCUCCAACCAGGCUGGGUGGAGUAAGGGGUGUGGGUGGACAGGGGGUUCUGCCCUUUUCGGUGACUUUAAAAAAGGUACCACCGGUGUCUAUGGACUGUAUAGCGCUUAGGAGAGGGGGAUUUGAUUACUAAACCGUUUACUUCUUUUUCCCUUCGGUAAUUUGGAUUUGUUUCCUUGGCCCCCUCCCCCGCCUCCCUCUCUCCCCCUCCCGCCUUUAGCGAAGUGACACACUUGCUCGCUCCAGUUGGAUGUUGGAACUUACACCUUCUCGGAGGCGACGGUGCCAGGUACUGGGGAGAGGGGGAGAGAGGCGACUUCCCUUCCUUCCAGCCCAGGAUGCCUAGAGGGGCAGCGGUUGGGCUGCAUGGGGCUCUGCCCGCAGCACUUCUAGGAGGGAUUGAGGGGCUGCAGCUGGCCAGGCGUGGCUGCUAAUUGGACUCGCGCUAAGUCUCCGAGAGAGCAUCAGCUGGGACCUAUCUGCUAAAGGCGGGAGCACGGGCACCUGCACCGAGGAACCCGGGCGGCUUGCGGGCAGACGACGGCCGGCCGACUCAGAGCCUCUCCUCCUUCCUGCCCAGAACCUCCCCAGCAACUCCUCCUGGACCUGCGAGGGCCGGAGAACAGAAGUGCGUGGCAGAGGCUGCUUUCCUGAAGGUGAACCGUUCCGGCCAAUUGCCUUUUCCCAGAGAGCAAAAGGGAGGGCGGGAGAAGAAACGGAGUCCUGUGUGAGUGUGUGUGAGAGGGAGAGACGACGUGAGGCGAGAGGAAAAGUCUGUACUCGGCGUUAAAAGCAAACAAAUCAGAGAUGGAAUAAGGGCGGUAAUUGCUGCAAGACCGCCUUGAUUCUCGCAGUGGGGGGAGCUGAGCGCACCGCGCGUAUCCGGCGAGGACGGCGGGCGACCGCGGGCGCUGGCGAGGGCUGCGGGACUUUGGCUUGUCCUCGGGGAAACACAUUUUUUUUUUUUUUAUUACUUUGACACCGUGGCAUAGAAGGGAGGAAAAGAGGCGAGGCUCGCUCGCUCCACCUUCCAUCCGCUUUAAGGGGAUUCCGGUGUAAAUGUCAAGAGAUUCCUGAGUCUCUGUGCCAUCGGAGGAGGAAACACACACACACGCGCGCACACGCACGCUCCGGACCUCACUCACCAGCCCUCCACGAGCACACCCCACCGGACUCCGGUUCCCUAUGCCCCUGAACGGGGACGACGGAUUGGCAUCUUGGAAGCGAUGCAAGAGCGAUAAGGCUGGCGCGGGCCCGCGGAAGCUGCAGGAGCAUCGCUAGGUGUUGCCGCCACCAGGAAGCCGGGCUGCAGGAUGAGUAAGGGAUACUUACAGAAAGCAACAAAAGGAAAACUGCUAAUAAUAAUAUUUAUUGUAACCUUGUGGGGGAAAGUCAUAUCCAGCGCAAACCAUCAUAAAGCUCACCAUGUUAAAACGGGCACUUGCGAGGUGGUGGCACUCCACAGAUGCUGUAAUAAGAACAAGAUAGAAGAACGGUCACAAACUGUCAAGUGCUCCUGCUUCCCUGGGCAGGUGGCAGGCACCACGCGAGCUGCUCCAUCUUGCGUGGAUGCUUCCAUAGUGGAACAGAAAUGGUGGUGUCAUAUGCAGCCAUGUCUUGAGGGAGAGGAAUGUAAAGUUCUUCCUGAUCGGAAAGGCUGGAGCUGCUCCUCUGGGAAUAAAGUGAAAACAACUCGGGCAAACGUGUAAAACUCUUCAAGUUCGAAUGGAGGAGUAGAAAGAGAAGGUUUCUGCUGUGCCUGAUGACAAUUUUUAAUAGCCACACUCAAAAUAUUCUGGCUCCACCAUGGAGCACUAGUGUGGUGAAUCCGAAUGUUGGUCGGACUCUAAGGAAGGGACAGAAGUUUCGUUGAGGAGUAAAGAUUCAAAACAACUCCAGAAAUGAGCUCUCACCUUGGUUUAUUUCUCACAGAGCAGCAGGUAACCCAUUAACUAAGAAUAAAUCAAACGACCCUCGAGGCUGAUUACAUUGGACAUAUGCACAGAAACUUAACUUCUCUGGCGGUCUUGGAGGGAGAUUUUUAUACUGCUCUGAAGAGGCACUCCAGACUCUUGUUUCCAAGGGAUUUUAUGGCUCGUAAUCAGCAUCUUCUUGAAAUCAAGACUUUAAGAAAGUCAGACAUGAACUUCUGUGUCAUGAAGAGUUCAGAUUUGAACUGUGUUCAACUUGUAAAAUUGCACUUCCUAAAAGAAUUUGAAGUCGUCAUCUGAAGAGUUGGUGUUUCCGGGCGAUGUCAGAGACACUCGCAUUGUGGGCUCCUGGCUCCAAAUGUGACUGCUUUUCUUGUUCCUGAAAGUCUCCCAAAUGCACUGGCCCUCUGUCAUGGAUGUGUUCCUGGGUCUGGUCCUGUGUUCAGUGGCUAGUGGGACUGUAUAUGGCUUUAGUGACAUUUCCUUUGCAAACUUCUCUGGCAUGGUGUGGACUGAGAUCAUUUUAUUUGUAUCCUAAUCUUGGAGCUCUGAAAGCCUACAUGUUUUAACAUCUUAAAGUUGCUUUUGUUAAAGGAAUGGAAAAAUAUAUCCAUUGAUAAUAAUUAUUGUUGGCAAGUAAUACUUAUCUGAAUACAUCAAUCACCUAAGAAUGUAUAGACUAGCUGACAUGUUUCCCCAAGGCUAACACACUACUGCAGCUCUCUGUCAGUUAAAUAGGUAGGAGUUAGAACUGAAUUACCAUUUUCAUUGUAUACUAUUUUAUACCUCUAGAGCACUCUUCCUUUCUUUCUUUUUUUUAAGUGGGCUGUUUUCUUUCCUUUUCAUGUUUACUUUUUCCUUCACAGAAAUCAGCAGUGAGCAGUCAAGUAUUGAGUUAGGUAGCCUUCAGUUUCAAAAAUUGCCAGGGAUGCAUGUGGGUUUCUGAUUUCUUAGCUUGAAAGUUAUUCAUUUACAUUUAUUACAUUUUAAAACUGUUCUUUCUAUCUCAUUUUAGAAGACUGUCUCUUGCUUGAUCCCAAUGACUGUUUGAAUGCUGUUUGUCCAGUCUGUAGAUAAAAUAAAUUAUCAUUUUCUUUGGUCUCAAAUUUAUAAAUAUUUGCUUAUAGUUGUCCCAUUUGAACAAUUUCUUAGGUUAUUUUUUGCUCACAUUUUUGUAGUAAUUUUAACAUUUGUGGUUUUCAGUUCUAUAGGAAAAUCAUAUAAAUAUUUAAAGGCCUUAAACAUGUAUGUACCUUUUUCCCUAAGUUAUUACAGAAUGUAUACUUUUAUACUACAUUUAUUUUGUUUCAUUUAUGAUGUGAAGGGAGAGAAGAAUGGAAAUUGCAAAGCUAUUCUGUAAUAAUAUUGUGUAAACUUACAGUUUGAAGGAAUGUAAAUGGAGGGACUCCUGUGUUUUACUCAUCUUAGACUAAUAGGAAGGUACUUCAGAAAUUGUCCUAUUAGAAAUUCCAUUAUGUUAGAGAAGGUGUGGACAUCUUUUGUGUUUCUAAAACUCACUGACGUGGCCAGUUAGGUAUAUGUUGGUUUCCAUGAUGGAGGCUGAGCAGCCUGAAGACCUUCGGUCUGUUAGUAGGUAACAACUUUCAAAGACUGAUAGAAACGUUUCUGGGCAAAACAACUAAAAGUGGUAAAAUUUGUUAAAAGUUAAAUUUGUAAAGUAUACUUUUGACAUUGAACUAAAGUAUACUGCCCUAUAAGUCAAUGAAAUGACUUACUCCUUUUAUUUUAAUUAUACAUAAAACUAGAUGGCUCCACAUGGAUUUUGCAAUGGUUCAAUACUGUAUGAAUGUUAAGACAGGAAUAACAGUUGUGCUGGAGUUUCUGCAUCAAUUAUAUCAUUACUUUGUUUGUAACAAAGAAGAAAACCAUAUUACUUUGGAAAUUACAAAUUUGUCCUAGAUUGGUUUGAAAUUAUAGAUCAUGCCUCUCAUUUAUUAAACCAUGUUCUUUAAAACAACACUGAAAAUUCUGUACUAUAUAUGUGUAAUACAUGCAUAUCAAUAGAAAAAAAUAAAUGGAAUUUCAAAUAUACUAACUAGAUUAUCCCCAAUAGAAUACUGU
This is an RNA transcript of Myotis myotis, 4108 nucleotides long. It is a transcript of the gene named TAFA chemokine like family member 2, with no coding region annotated. NCBI's taxonomy places the organism in Eukaryota, Metazoa, Chordata, Mammalia, Chiroptera, Vespertilionidae. The transcript is spliced from 6 exons. The record is from RefSeq and is a predicted model, not a curated record.